AGGGAAUCUUCCACAAUGGACGAAAGUCUGAUGGAGCAACGCCGCGUGAGUGAUGAAGGUUUUCGGAUCGUAAAACUCUGUUGUAAGGGAAGAACCAGUACGUCAGGCAAUGGACGUACCUUGACGGUACCUUAUUAGAAAGCCACGGCUAACUACGUGCCAGCAGCCGCGGUAAUACGUAGGUGGCAAGCGUUGUCCGGAAUUAUUGGGCGUAAAGCGCGCGCAGGUGGUUUCUUAAGUCUGAUGUGAAAGCCCAAGGCUUAACCGUGGAGGGUCAUUUGAAACUGAAAGACUUGAGUAUUGGAGAGGCAAGUGGAAUUCCUAGUGUAGCGGUGAAAUGCGUAGAUAUUAGGAGGAACACCGGUGGCGAGGGCGGCUUGCUGGACAAAUACUGACGCUGAGGUGCGAAAGCGUGGGGAGCAAACA
Molecule: ribosomal RNA, 426 nt
Filed under: uncultured Caryophanaceae bacterium
Lineage: Bacteria; Bacillati; Bacillota; Bacilli; Caryophanales; Caryophanaceae
Description: bacterial SSU rRNA
Rfam family: Bacterial small subunit ribosomal RNA
Source: RNAcentral